RNAcentral lists this ribosomal RNA (421 nucleotides) under uncultured bacterium. Its description in RNAcentral is "bacterial SSU rRNA". It matches the Rfam family "Bacterial small subunit ribosomal RNA", at positions 356 to 773 of the family's 1533-position model. The record is from RNAcentral.
AAGGAAUAUUGGACAAUGGACGGAAGUCUGAUCCAGCCAUGCCGCGUGAAGGAUGAAGGCGCUCAGCGUUGUAAACUUCUUUUGGAUGGGGACAAUAAUCUCGAUUUAUCGGGACUUGAGGGUACCAUCAGAAUAAGCACCGGCUAACUCCGUGCCAGCAGCCGCGGUAAUACGGAGGGUGCAAGCGUUAUCCGGAAUCACUGGGUUUAAAGGGUGCGUAGGCGGUCAGAUAAGUCAGUCGUGAAAUUCCUCGGCUUAACCGGGUGGACUGCGAUUGAUACUGUUUGACUUGAAUGAGGUUGAGGUAGGCGGAAUGUGGCAUGUAGCGGUGAAAUGCUUAGAUAUGCCAUAGAACACCGAUUGCGAAGGCAGCUUGCUGGGCCUUCAUUGACGCUGAGGCACGAAAGCGUGGGGAGCAAAC